Molecule: ribosomal RNA, 468 nt
Filed under: uncultured bacterium
Lineage: Bacteria
Description: partial 16S ribosomal RNA
Rfam family: Bacterial small subunit ribosomal RNA
Source: RNAcentral
GACGAACGCUGGCGGCGUGCUUAACACAUGCAAGUCGAACGGAAAGGCCCUGCUUUUGUGGGGUGCUCGAGUGGCGAACGGGUGAGUAACACGUGAGUAACCUGCCCUUGACUUUGGGAUAACUUCAGGAAACUGGGGCUAAUACCGGAUAGGAGCUCCUGCUGCAUGGUGGGGGUUGGAAAGUUUCGGCGGUUGGGGAUGGACUCGCGGCUUAUCAGCUUGUUGGUGGGGUAGUGGCUUACCAAGGCUUGGACGGGUAGCCUGGCUGAGAGGGUGACCGGCCACACUGGGACGGAGAUGCGGCCCAGACUCCUACGGGAGGCAGCAGAGGGGAAGAGUGCACAAUGGGAGGAAGCCUGAUCCAGCAACGCCGCGUGCGGGAUGACGUCCUGCGGGUAGUAAACCGCUUUCGCCUGUGACGAAGCGUGAGUGACGGUAAUGGGUAAAGAAGCACCGGCUAACUACGUG